GACGAACGCUGGCGGCGUGCCUAAUACAUGCAAGUAGAACGCUGAAGGAGGAGCUUGCUUCUCCGGAUGAGUUGCGAACGGGUGAGUAACGCGUAGGUAACCUGCCUGGUAGCGGGGGAUAACUAUUGGAAACGAUAGCUAAUACCGCAUAAGAGUAGAUGUCGCAUGACAUUUGCUUAAAAGGUGCAACUGCACCACUACCAGAUGGACCUGCGUUGUAUUAGCUAGUUGGUGAGGUAACGGCUCACCAAGGCAACGAUACAUAGCCGACCUGAGAGGGGGAUCGGCCACACUGGGACUUGGACACGGCCCAGACUUCUACGGGAGGCAGCAGUAGGCAAUCUUCGGCAAUGGACGGAAGUCUGACCGGGCAACGCCGCGUGAGUGAAGAAGGUUUUCGGAUCGUAAAGCUCUGUUGUAAGAGAAGAACGAGUGUGGGAGUGGAAAGUUCACACUGUGACGGUAUCUUACCAGAAAGGGACGGCUAACUACGUG
Molecule: ribosomal RNA, 495 nt
Filed under: uncultured bacterium
Lineage: Bacteria
Description: partial 16S ribosomal RNA
Rfam family: Bacterial small subunit ribosomal RNA
Source: RNAcentral